Molecule: transfer RNA, 93 nt
Filed under: uncultured Gemmatimonadaceae bacterium
Lineage: Bacteria; Pseudomonadati; Gemmatimonadota; Gemmatimonadia; Gemmatimonadales; Gemmatimonadaceae
Description: tRNA-SeC(p)-TCA
Rfam family: Selenocysteine transfer RNA
Source: RNAcentral
GGGGGCGGAUGGGGCCUGGUGGCUUCUCCGGUCUUCAAAACCGGCGCGACCCGACCACGUCGGGUUGGGUGGGUUCGAUUCCCACACGCUCCA